GUGUCAGCAGCCGCGGUAAUACAGAGGAGCCAAGCGUUGUCCGGAUUGACUGGGCGUAAAGCGCACGCAGGCGGUUGCGCGCGUGGGGUGUGAAAUCUGGCCGCUUAACGGCCAGGCGCCAUCCCAUACGGCGCGACUGGAGUGAUGCAGAGGUCGAUGGAAUUGCCGGUGUAGUGGUGAAAUGCGUAGAGAUCGGCAGGAACACCCAGGGGGAAACCAGUCGACUGGGCAUCUACUGACGCUGAGGUGCGAGAGCGUGGGGAGCGAACCGGAUUAGAUACCCUGGUAGUCC
Molecule: ribosomal RNA, 292 nt
Filed under: uncultured bacterium
Lineage: Bacteria
Description: partial 16S ribosomal RNA
Rfam family: Bacterial small subunit ribosomal RNA
Source: RNAcentral